AGUAAACGCUGGCGGUAGGCCUAACACAUGCGAGUCGAACGGCAGCACAGGAGAGCUUGCUCUCUGGGUGGCGAGUGGCGGACGGGUGAGGAAUACAUCGGAAUCUACUCUGUCGUGGGGGAUAACGUAGGGAAAUUUACGCUAAUACCGCAUACGACCUACGGGUGAAAGCAGGGGACCUUCGGGCCUUGCGCGAUUGAAUGAGCCGAGGUCGGAUUAGCUAGUUGGCGGGGUAAAGGCCCACCAAGGCGACGAUCCGUAGCUGGUCUGAGAGGAUGAUCAGCCACACUGGAACUGAGACACGGUCCAGACUCCUACGGGAGGCAGCAGUGGGGAAUAUUGGACAAUGGGCGCAAGCCUGAUCCAGCCAUACCGCGUGGGUGAAGAAGGCCUUCGGGUUGUAAAGCCCUUUUGUUGGGAAAGAAAUCCAGCUGGCUAAUACCCGGUUGGGAUGACGGUACCCAAAGAAUAAGCACCGGCUAACUUCGUGCCAGCCGCCGCCGUAA
This 506-nucleotide ribosomal RNA is filed under the name uncultured bacterium. Its description in RNAcentral is "partial 16S ribosomal RNA". It matches the Rfam family "Bacterial small subunit ribosomal RNA", at positions 29 to 523 of the family's 1533-position model. The record is from RNAcentral.